UUUGUCUUAAAAAGCUUAAGUUCUUUAAAUAUCUAGUCCUAAAAUUCAUUUUUUUUAAUUUGCUGUUGGUGUCUGUGGUGGCCUGAGUUGGGAGUUGGAGCAUAAGGCUUCCUAGUCCAUCGUUUGUGCCCCGGUUGAACCGACAAAAGCCGCUCGGGUCACAAAUGCAUAAAGCCACCCCUUGGACCCAAGGCCCAAGUGGGAAUACUACUUCAAAAUAGAGUCUAGGAAGAUAAAGAACAUAGCGAGGUGGGCUGAAGGCCCAGCCAUGGGUGAAAAUGGCCAACUAGGGGCUUGGUACGCCCCUAGUCUAACUUAGUCUCUUUAUAUUUAUUCGUAGACUCAUUCCCAUCUUGAUGUACUUGUAAAAAGUGUAUUCAAACUCAUAUUAUAGUGGAAAAUCCUUAUGAUUGGAA
Molecule: long non-coding RNA, 416 nt
Organism: Lycium ferocissimum
Lineage: Eukaryota; Viridiplantae; Streptophyta; Magnoliopsida; Solanales; Solanaceae
Exons: 2
Source: RefSeq, a predicted model, not a curated record